AUUGAACGCUGGCGGCAUGCCUUACACAUGCAAGUCGAACGGCAGCACGGGUGCUUGCACCUGGUGGCGAGUGGCGAACGGGUGAGUAAUACAUCGGAACGUACCUUAUCGUGGGGGAUAACGCAGCGAAAGCUGUGCUAAUACCGCAUACGCCCUGAGGGGGAACGCGGGGGAUCGCAAGACCUCGCGCGAUUAGAGCGGCCGAUGCCUGAUUAGCUAGUUGGUGGGGUAAAAGCCCACCAAGGCGACGAUCAGUAGCUGGUCUGAGAGGACGAUCAGCGCCACUGGGACUGAGACACGGCCCAGACUCCUACGGGAGGCAGCAGUGGGGAAUUUUGGACAAUGGGGGCAACCCUGAUCCAGCAAUGCCGCGUGAGUGAAGAAGGCCUUCAGGUUGUAAAGCUCUUUUGUCAGGGAAGAAACACCGGCUCUAACACAGUCCGGGAAUGACGGUACCUGAAGAAUAAGCACCGGCUAACUACGUGCCAGCAGCCGCAGUAA
This 501-nucleotide ribosomal RNA is filed under the name uncultured bacterium. Its description in RNAcentral is "partial 16S ribosomal RNA". It matches the Rfam family "Bacterial small subunit ribosomal RNA", at positions 29 to 523 of the family's 1533-position model. The record is from RNAcentral.